Molecule: unclassified non-coding RNA, 661 nt
Filed under: Hevea brasiliensis (rubber tree)
Lineage: Eukaryota; Viridiplantae; Streptophyta; Magnoliopsida; Malpighiales; Euphorbiaceae
Source: RNAcentral
GGACAAAACAGCACCGUUCUUCCUGCUUUCUUGACAUUUCCGAUUAUGUAAUCCUGCAUCCCAACUUCUGACAGAUUGCAAUCUUCGAAAGAUGAGAUAAUCUCGAAAUCGAGACCAGUGUUUCUAUUGAGUUAUCGGAUCUCAGAUCAUUUGGUUGCCCAUCUCUUGCAUCUCUAAUCACUUGAUAGCCCAGUGUCCAUCUUUUUCAACCCUGGAGUGAACUUUGCAUGUGGAAUCUCAGUUCUUCAAUGGUGAAUAACUAUGUCAGAGUGAAUGUGCCGCUCUCGCGAUUCGGUGUGCUGAUGGCGCAGCUUGAGUCCAUAGACACUUCGGCCUCUCAACAAUCCCUUGAAUCUCUCCUUUGCUUGGAUUUCUUUUUCGAUCUCAUCACCCAAGGAUAAGCCCAUAAGCCUCUUCCAAAUCAUGGAAAUUCUGAAGUUGGUUAAAAGAGAAUUACUUGGAGAAUCUGUUAAACUAAUUUGAUCAAUUUUUUGACAAGAUCUUUUCGUUGAACAGAUAGAUGCUCAAUUUUUUUGGGUGCUAUUGCAGAAUCUUCUAUUACUACAGCAUUAUCUGAAAAUAGUUUUCCAAGUAUCCUUAGGUGAUUGUUUGAGGUCAAUGAGUCGUCUCUAGCAACUCAUUAAAGGUAAUCGUGCAAAUC